Molecule: unclassified non-coding RNA, 4334 nt
Filed under: Hevea brasiliensis (rubber tree)
Lineage: Eukaryota; Viridiplantae; Streptophyta; Magnoliopsida; Malpighiales; Euphorbiaceae
Source: RNAcentral
AGGCGUAUGGACUGACUGAAUCCACAGCUCGAGUCUUUGGAACAAUGGGCCCUAAAGAAGGCCAAGUGAUGGGAGCCUCAGGAAAGCUUAUGUCUAAUUGCGAAGCAAAGAUUGUUGAUCCUGAAACUGGCAUUUCUCUCCCACCUGGCUGUGCUGGUGAGCUUUGGCUUAGAGGACCAUCCAUCAUGAAGGGUUAUGUUGGCGAUGAAGAAGCAACAGCUGCAACUUUGGAUUCUGAAGGAUGGUUGAGAACUGGAGACCUUUGUUACAUUGACAGUGAAGGCUUCCUGUUUUUUGUGGAUCGUAUUAAGGAACUAAUCAAAUACAAAGGCUACCAGGUUGCUCCAGCAGAACUCGAGCACCUGCUUCAAUCCCAUUCAGAUAUUAUUGAGACAGCUGUAAUUCCGUAUCCUGACGAGGAAGCAGGGCAUAUACCCAUGGCCUUUGUGGUACGAAAAAUUGGAAGCACCAUUGACGAAUCACUAAUCAAGGAUUUUAUAGCUCGACAGGUUGCACCCUACAAGAGAAUAAGACGAGUAGCGUUCAUUGAUUCAUUACCAAAGAAUGUCGCGGGUAAGGUGCUCAGGAAGGAGUUAAUAAAACUUGCACUAUCAAGUGCUGCCUCUAAGUUAUAAGUUCCUCACUCCUCACUCCUCACUUAAUUUUGGUGGAGAUCACCUCAAAUCCAUUAGAAUUUUAUAAAUUAGAAUAUUAUAGUAAAAUGUUUAUAAUGGGUGUCUAUACUUCAGCUGUUUCCAUAAUUUUUUAGUAAAAAUGCCAACAAAACUCCAAAUAUUUUUAGCUUCAAGGAUUAGUUUGUUUUCCACAAGAAUGAAUCACAUCUAAAUUUUAUUCAUCUCAGUUUGUUACAAAGCAGUAAGUACUUGAGAGUUGACCCAAUAUAUACCUCUACAGAAAUUGCUUCAAUUCUAAAUUUUAAGAACACUUAAUUGCACUCUUAAGAAAAGAAACCCACCCACUAAGAACAUGCUAUACACUAACUACAUAAACCAACCAUAGUAGCCAAGAUCUUGCUGUUUAUACCGACUUCAAACCAGUUUCAAUCCAUUAGAUAGAAAUGCUGUUGGGGAUUCCACGACCGGUAACCCCUGGACCUGAAGAGGGAAGGAGCAAUUCAUAAGGGGGAAUUCCUGCACCAGUUCUGUUUUUAAGACUGAUAUCCUUGUUUCUCAUAUUUAUUGUCCGCUCUAUCUCCUCUAAUCGAGCCGAGAAUCUAUUGAACAUUUCUAGUAUUUCAUGAUCAUUUAUCCAAUGGCUAUGUAGCUGGUUCACCUGACCCAAGUACUCUUCAUCUGGGGAAUGAGUCGACAGUGUGUCUUGCACGGCCAUCACUUUGGUGGCUUGAAGUUGAGUUGGCAAAGAUGAGAGAAAAGUAUGCUGGGGGUUCAGCAUAAACUUCUCAUAAUCAGGCUCGUCCUCUUGGGGGAUGAGUUUUCUCAUUAGAGUAGGUCGAUUAGGCACAUACCCACCAAAAGGAUACUGCCCAAAAUUUAUGGCUGCGUGUUGACCUGAUGCAAUCCAGAUCAUUAUAGUUAGUAUGCCAGAUAAGUCCUCUUUGGUAUCGAGUUUAGGCCACCAUGGUUCAUUCCUUUUGUCAUAAUGGCCUUUGUUCUUGAUUUCAUCCCACCAGGCUUGGAGCUCAAUGUCAGAUGUGACAGAAUUAGGUUCAGAGUAGAAGUGAUUGACAUAAGAUUCUACCCAAUCUUUGAUGGCUGACCAGAUGAGGAGGCCGUCUGAAGCAUAAGGGUAGUCCUCAAUCACAAGUCUCACACCACAGGGCAUUGAAGGAUCCUCCACUGCCAUGCCCCUGCGAAUAAGAUCUGCAGGCAAAGCCUCCAUGUCAAACCGCCACAUACUCUUGUAUGCUGCAGAGCUAAUCUCCAUGGCAUACUUUCCAGGACUGAAUGAAGCCUCAAUUAUUCCUCCUCCAUUUAUCAAACUUUGCCGUGCAAGUGCAUUAAUUUCUAGUGUAUAUCGCAUAUGAGGAUGAAGCAGCUUGUAAAUUGGAUGCAUUGCACUGAGCUGUCUAUGAGUUGCAAUUAUAUAAGGCUCCAUGCAAGCAUGAGUCCUCAACCAGUGAUUUACUAGUUGAUGGACCCCAGCAUCAUUGGAGCAGACAUGAGCUUUGGCUAGCUUCCAAAUCCAAUGUGUUGUAGCAUCAUGCCCAUGAGUGUAAACAUGUUUAUUGCGAGGUGAAGAACGUGUAGGAGGAAGUGAAAGCUCAAUAGCUACUGGCCUCAGCAUACCAGCUCGGUUAUAGAAGAAAACCGUCCUUGAGGCGUAAGCUUUUCUCCCUGGCAAGGAGUUCAUCUUGUUCAUAAACGGCAAAAGCAUGUCAUGGAAAUCAAGUAUAAACAGCCUGUUCUCCUCAAUUGCCUUUUCUACGCUCAUUCCAUUGAGUUCAUGCUCUAUUAACUCCUUGGUGAGUGCUGAUUCUGGAGGGCCAUAUACAGCAGGGUCUAGUUUACUGAGAAUUGGAAAUUCCUGUAAAACAGAAUCCAACCCAAUGACUCAAAAAGCAGAAUUGGCAAGAGGGCAACCUUUUAAACAACAGCAAGGACAGAAUAUGAUUUUUAACAUUACCUUCAAAAUCUCAAUGUUCACUGGAUUGACCCCGGCCAAAGUCUGGCGAGCAAACUCAUUAUCGCGCAACCAAGCAAAUCUAUCCCCUGCACAUAUAUAUAUGUACAUAUAAAUUACACAAGAUAUAAUCUAUUGGCCACUUUUUAGCAAGCAUAAGGGAAUGUAGUUUGAGACUUGAAAAAGCUAUUGUAAUGUAGUUGAAAAACGUGAACCCAUUGUACGCUAUGAAUGAAGCAACGGAGGAAGAACGAAAAUACAUACGUUUUAUGAUAGCUGGGAUUUCAUAUUUCAAUAACCUUUCGCCAACGCUAAUAACCUGUUUCAUAACAUUACCCAACGCAGGAUGAACUAAUUUAUGUUCUUCGGUUCUUAAGAGAAGACCAUCAUUGUAUAGCUUAUCAAUAUCAGAGAAACAUUUGAAGGGAAUAUCUGAACUUGACAAUGCAGCAGCAAUAGAUGGAAUGAGAUUGUGAAGCAGAGCUUUCAACCUUCCAGCAGAGAAAGUGCUCUGCUUGAUCUCCUCGAAAGUUUCAUCCCGAGGAACAUACACUGGGUGUGGCUUUUCAAUUCUACUCUCAGAUCGAGGAUCUGUCUUGGUUGGAGGUCCGCCAGUUCUACAGCGCCUAGGAUAAGGCAAAUCCUUACUACCACCAAUGACAGGCCUAGCAAGAUCUUCAUCCUUGUCAGGAUUGCCCAGAUCAUUAUAUGUAGCAUAAUCAUAAAUUCUAUCAUGACGCUUUCUCUCGCCUUUCCCAUUGCCGCGAAUGCUAAGCAAGUCUUCACGCCGUAGAUCUUUAAUACCAGGAGGUGUCUGGGAUGGUAGGUAAGCUUGAUUUCUGAAGAUAAUUCUGCUUUCAGGAUUGUCUUUUUGGGAAUGAAUCCAGGUAUUUGCAGAGAAGAAAAAGGGACCUCCACCGAAACCAUGAAUUACAAUCUCCACCAAGUAGAACUUCUUGCCAUGAAGAUUGGUAAUAAGAACAGCUCCAGGAUUGCCAAAGUCGCAAGGAACGGUGAAGUCAGCUGCAUACUCAACAAUAUGAACAUGGUUUGAUGGCUUUGGCAACCAGCCUCUCACCGAAGACUGCACGCUCUUUCCUGAGUUGGUCUCAGGGUCAAUCUCCUCACUGAUAAGUUGAAUCAAGAUCCCUUGACCAAUCCCAUUCAAAAAAUACUCCCACUGAUCUUCAAUCUUCUCAUUGAUCUUCUCUUUCAUCUUCUUCCUUAUAGUGAUCACAGCCCUCACAUCAAUCUCUCUUCCUCUUUUCUUAUCAGAGGAAGACAACACUGACCGCUCACUUACCUCCUUAUUAGACUUAGCAGACUCAACAGCCUUGUCAUCACUGCUUAUUACUGCCCGGAUUGACCCAGAACCAUUAACUCGUGACACCGGCACUCGGGUCCUCUUCUGCCGAACCUCAUGCUUUACAGCACCCGUCACCGCCGCUAAUCGACGGAGAACGGCCUCUGACUUCAAAGGAGAUAAUUGUUGCACUGCAUACAUCUCUCUCUAUGUUUCAAAAAGAAAAGCUAGUAACUUUCCAAGGCAAAAACGAUGUCGUUGACCAACUAUCGCAGCCGUGCAACUCAGACAGCGGAGUAGAGCUCACUACUUUCUCUGCGAGGAGGAGAAGUAAACUGCGAGACAGGUUGAUAAAGACAGCGAGCUACUUUUAAUGACAGGGGAGAUUGAAAACACCACUCUCGUUCGGCGGCACGUGACGGGGACACGC